UCAGUGUUUUGGUUAUUGUAGCGAUUCUUGACAGUAACUCACAUAAGAGACGUCAAAUGUAUGUUCAAAAUAUUCAUGAACAGGAAUACAUUUAAGAAGAAGUAUAAUUCAAAAUAAACAAGUGAAUGACUUGUUCGACCGGUCGAAAUUUGAAGGUAAAUAAACUUCCUAUAGCUGGUGGAUUAUCAAGCUCAAACUGCGGAAAGGAAAUAUCCGGAACCAGUGGAAAUACAUCUCGAAAUAUCAGCAGCUCUUCACAUCAACAAUCACUUUUGGACGGGAUGGAAGGAAAGCAACGCAAAAUUAGAUUCAAGGUUAGUUAUGUAUCGUUUUAACUCGAAAACAGUAACCUUUUAAGGUGUUUCUUUUUCAGAUACCCGGUUUAAAGUUAACAGCAGAGAAUGCAACGAUGGAUUUACCAGAUGCCUCUGCUAACUUGUUCGGGAUCGUCUGCAACCUAGCCAUGACCGUACUAAGGAGGUACCAUGGGCUAAAUUUGGCUUCGUCGCCUGCAGAAACUAGGUGGGAUUCCUCGUAUGCUCAUUUUCCGACGACCUUUAGGCACGGGAGCAAAAAGGGUGAAAUGUUGAAUGCAAGAUUUAGUCUUUUUUGAUAAUUUUUUUUUCGUAUUUAA
Long non-coding RNA from Uranotaenia lowii, 634 nucleotides. RefSeq lists it as uncharacterized. The record is from RefSeq and is a predicted model, not a curated record. Lineage: Eukaryota; Metazoa; Arthropoda; Insecta; Diptera; Culicidae. The transcript has 3 exons.